GAAAUUGAUUUUUAGGCUUUGGGAAACUUAUUUCUUAAAUACAUUGUUGUCACAGCUGACUUUCAUUUUUAAUUACCCUGAGAGUUUUGAAGUCAUCAUAUAAGACAAAAGCACUUCUGGGAGCUGACUGCAGUAGACCCACAUUCUGAACAUACACAGAUUUCAUGGCCCUCCAGAAUCCAUUAUUAUGCUAACGCUGGUCCUUUGAAUUCUCAACUAACUCACAGAAGAUGAAUUUCCUUCCUGAAGUAAAAGACUCAUCACAGACUCACAAGCAGAACCAGACCUUGGGGAAGUAGUCAGGACUGAAUUUAAAUCAUCUUAACUGAACCUGGAGAUUGGACUGCCAUCGACUCCUGCUGACUCAUGGAGGAAGGAAGGAGACAGCCAGAAGAGAGUUGCAGGACCUUCAUCUUUUGCACUUAAAUUUUGGGGUUCCCAGCAGUCCUAGAUCUCAACAAUCUGAAGACCUCAUCAUGAGUUUGACCACAGGGUGCUGGAUUAUUUUGCUGUAUCAAUUUCCAAAGAACACCCAAACAGCACAUGGCAUUUACUGAUACACACUUCCCUCAAAUGAGAUCUGCCUUCUAACAG
This is a non-coding RNA of Phascolarctos cinereus (koala), 594 nucleotides long. Lineage: Eukaryota; Metazoa; Chordata; Mammalia; Diprotodontia; Phascolarctidae. The record is from RefSeq and is a predicted model, not a curated record.